This 203-nucleotide long non-coding RNA is filed under the name Linum usitatissimum (flax). RNAcentral's name for it is "long non-coding RNA (LUSI_LNC000103)". Lineage: Eukaryota; Viridiplantae; Streptophyta; Magnoliopsida; Malpighiales; Linaceae. The record is from RNAcentral.
CCAGAAGAACAGAACAAAAGUAAAAAGCUUACAUGGGAGAAAGGAAUGGAAUCCAAGAGAGAGGAGUAUGCUUCAUGGGGGGAGGGAAGAAAACCAAACCAAAGAGAAAAAAGAAAGAAACCCACUUUUGGGAAGGAGCAAAAGGAGUGGCCUUUGGUGCUGAAUUCCAGUUCUGCUGCUGCUGUUGCAGCAAAAACAGCAUA